Molecule: long non-coding RNA, 567 nt
Organism: Lates calcarifer (barramundi perch)
Lineage: Eukaryota; Metazoa; Chordata; Actinopteri; Centropomidae
Exons: 3
Source: RefSeq, a predicted model, not a curated record
GUACCCGCGCGCCCGCUGCUCUUCACAUUGUGAGUGUGCGCAGUGAAGAGAGGCAGGAAACCGCGAGCUUUCGGUUUCUGUCCACGAGAAGAAACGUCGUCUUUUUACCGACUGGUCCGUCCAACAAAGACAAGAAACAGAGAAAUAAAGGUCAUGGACAAGCUGAAGUCAGUGCAGGACAAACUUUGUCUGUGCCUCUCCACUAACCCCGAUUUCAUAAUUGAUAAGUGUGGGGAUAUAUUAACCAGGAAUGAAUCCUUGAAGAUAGAAAAGCAAAACAGUGGCUUAGAGAAAAUGAGAGCACUUAUGAAAAUAAUAACUGGAAAAGGAGACGAUGUCUGUCAGACGUUCCUGGGCAUCCUGAAGCAGCAUCAAACACUGUUACGAGCAGCUGCCACAGCUUUUCACUCAAGGUCCACCUCCUCCAACAGUGUUUGCUGCUGGUAACAGUGUUGUUUCCACCAGAGAAAUAACAAAUAUGAAAGGAAAAUCCCUCAACAAGAGGAUUGAAAUAGAGAGUGGUCCAGGAAGUAGUCAGCCUGGUGAGUGUUAAUACUUCUCAGAUAU